GAUGAACGCUGGCGGCGUGCCUAAUACAUGCAAGUCGAGCGAACGGACGAGAAGCUUGCUUCUCUGAUGUUAGCGGCGGACGGGUGAGUAACACGUGGAUAACCUACCUAUAAGACUGGGAUAACUUCGGGAAACCGUAGCUAAUACCGGAUAAUAUUUUGAACCGCAUGGUUCAAAAGUGAAAGACGGUCUUGCUGUCACUUAUAGAUGGAUCCGCGCUGCAUUAGCUAGUUGGUAAGGUAACGGCUUACCAAGGCAACGAUGAAUAGCCGACCUGAGAGGUGGAUCGGCCACACUGGAACUGAGACACGGUCCAGACUCCUACGGGAGGCAGCAGUAGGGAAUCUUCCGCGAUGGGCGAAAGCCUGACGGAGCAACGCCGCGUGAGUGAUGAAGGUCUUCGGAUCGUAAAACUCUGUUAUUAGGGAAGAACAUAUGUGUAAGUAACUGUGCACAUCUUGACGGUACCUAAUCAGAAAGCCACGGCUAACUACGUG
RNAcentral lists this ribosomal RNA (497 nucleotides) under uncultured bacterium. RNAcentral describes it as "partial 16S ribosomal RNA". It matches the Rfam family "Bacterial small subunit ribosomal RNA", at positions 28 to 507 of the family's 1533-position model. The record is from RNAcentral.